Molecule: ribosomal RNA, 471 nt
Filed under: uncultured bacterium
Lineage: Bacteria
Description: bacterial SSU rRNA
Rfam family: Bacterial small subunit ribosomal RNA
Source: RNAcentral
UGGGGAAUAUUGCGCAAUGGGGGAAACCCUGACGCAGCGACGCCGCGUGUGGGAUGAAGGUCUUCGGAUUGUAAACCUCUUUCAGGGGGGACGAAGCCACCGGGGUUAAUAACCUACGGGGUGACGGUACCCCCAGAAGAAGCCCCGGCUAACUACGUGCCAGCAGCCGCGGUAAUACGUAGGGGGCAAGCGUUGUCCGGAAUCAUUGGGCGUAAAGCGCGUGUAGGUGGCUUGGUAAGUCCGGUGUGAAACCUUGGGGCUCAACCCCAAGCCUGCAUCGGAUACUGCCUCGCUCGAGUUCGGGAGGGGAGAGCGGAAUUCCUAGUGUAGCGGUGAAAUGCGCAGAUAUUAGGAAGAACACCGGUGGCGAAGGCGGCUCUCUGGAACGAUACUGACACUGAGACGCGAAAGCGUGGGUAGCGAACAGGAUUAGAUACCCUAGUAGUCCCUGAGCGGGCUGGCAAGGCGCAU